Molecule: ribosomal RNA, 492 nt
Filed under: uncultured bacterium
Lineage: Bacteria
Description: partial 16S ribosomal RNA
Rfam family: Bacterial small subunit ribosomal RNA
Source: RNAcentral
AGUGAACGCUGGCGGUAGGCCUAACACAUGCAAGUCGAACGGCAGCACAGUAAGCGCUUGCUCUUCCGGGUGGCGAGUGGCGGACGGGUGAGGAAUACAUCGGAAUCUACUUUUUCGUGGGGGAUAACGUCGGGAAACUUACGCUAAUACCGCAUACGACCUACGGGUGAAAGCAGGGGCUCUUCGGACCUUGCGCGAUUGAAUGAGCCGAUGUCGCAUUAGCUAGUUGGCGGGGUAAAGGCCCACCAAGGCGACGAUCCGUAGCUGGUCUGAGAGGAGGACCGGCCACACUGGAACUGAGACACGGUCCAGACUCCUACGGGAGGCAGCAGUGGGGAAUAUUGGACAAUGGGCGCAAGCCUGAUCCAGCCAUACCGCGUGGGUGAAGAAGGCCUUCGGGUUGUAAAGCCCUUUUGUUGGGAAAGAAAAGCAGCAGGUUAAUACCCCGCUGUUCUGACGGUACCCAAAGAAUAAGCACCGGCUAACUUCGUG